RNAcentral lists this ribosomal RNA (427 nucleotides) under Carios vespertilionis. Its description in RNAcentral is "partial 16S ribosomal RNA". The stretch from base 301 to 427 matches the Rfam family "Bacterial large subunit ribosomal RNA", at positions 2473 to 2596 of the family's 2925-position model. The record is from RNAcentral. Lineage: Eukaryota; Metazoa; Arthropoda; Arachnida; Ixodida; Argasidae.
UAUUUUAACUAUACGAAGGUAUUGAAAUAAGGCUUUAAAUGGGUGCUAAGAGAAUGGUUUAACGAAGAUAGGCUUUUUUCUUUUUUUUAUUAAAAGUUGAUUUAAAAAUGAAAAGGUUUUUAUAAAAAUUUGGGACAAGAAGACCCUAUGAAUUUUGAUAUGAGAUUUUUUAAUUAAAUUUUUUUAAUAAAUUUUAAAUUUUUCUUUUAUUUGAUUGGGGUGAUUUUUAAAGAUUGGGAAUCUUUAAAUUUUUGAUAAUUGGAUCCAUUAAUAGUGAUUUGUUGAAUAAAAUACUCUAGGGAUAACAGCGUUAUUAUUUUGGAUAGUUCAUAUAGAUAAAAUAGUUUGCGACCUCGAUGUUGGAUUAAGAUACCCUUGGAGUGUAGAAGCUUCAAAAAUAGGGAAGUUUGCUCAACUUUUAAAUUCU